RNAcentral lists this long non-coding RNA (428 nucleotides) under Panax ginseng (ginseng). Its description in RNAcentral is "long non-coding RNA (PGIN_LNC016737)". The record is from RNAcentral. Lineage: Eukaryota; Viridiplantae; Streptophyta; Magnoliopsida; Apiales; Araliaceae.
GACAACCCGAGAAAUUAGAAAAUUAUUAAAAUCUUAAAUGAUUGGUUUAAGGUCAAAUAAUAGACCUAGACAGAAAAUAAGUGAAUGUGUUUGAUGUUUUCAGAAAGGAAUUUUGAGCAUUUAAAAUUUCUUUUAGUGAAUUAUUCAGGAUUAAGGGUAUAUGUGUAUAUGUUCAAGAUUACGGUAUCAUGUGUACAUAAUGUGGUUAAGGGUCAAGUGUUGACCAGAUAAAUUAUAUCGGUGUCAAACCCUAAUAGUAUAUAUUAAGAACGUCCACGUUCAGUUAUAAAAUUAUUACGUUUUAUAAGAAACCCUAGAAAUCGAUUCUGGAAACCCUAAUUUCAGUUCCGGGAAUCCGAAACCCUAAUUCGAUAUUUGAAAACCCUAAUCCGAAAAAUUAUCGGAUAAGUAUAAUGCUUAAGUGCUAU